UAAAAUGAAUAAUAUAUUAUUCAUUCAUAUCGAAAGAAAGUACAGUACAAUAUGAAUUGGGAAAGAUGACCCCAAUGUGUAUAUACUAAUGUAAUGGAACCCAAACUAUAACUAUCCUAUAAUAUAAGGAAAAAGACUAACAAACUAUAUUCAACUAAUUAACAUAAUAAAAUAGUGAAUAACUAUAGUUUACAGUAAGGAAUAGUCUCUUUUAAUAAUUGAGAUAUAAUAAUAACUUGAAUCUUUUCCAUGCAAGGAAAAAGUAUAAACUAAUUUGCAAAAGAGGAACUGGUAAGAAAGCCUGGACAUGCUUUGAGAUUCAACCUGCUAUACUAUGUUUUUGUUCCUGUCUGGAGCAACCUUAAAUUUUAUUCAUCUACCUAUGCUUCAUUUCCUUCUUUUUCUGUCACAAAACAA
RNAcentral lists this long non-coding RNA (417 nucleotides) under Trifolium pratense (red clover). Its description in RNAcentral is "long non-coding RNA (TPRA_LNC008369)". The record is from RNAcentral. Lineage: Eukaryota; Viridiplantae; Streptophyta; Magnoliopsida; Fabales; Fabaceae.